Molecule: non-coding RNA, 74 nt
Organism: Apaloderma vittatum (bar-tailed trogon)
Lineage: Eukaryota; Metazoa; Chordata; Aves; Trogoniformes; Trogonidae
Source: Rfam
GGAUCGGUUAGCUCAGUCGGUUGAGUGUGGUGCUAGCAACGCCAAGGUCGCGGGUUCGAUUCCCGUUCGGUCCC